UGUCCGGAUCCAGGUGGUCUUGCCGGUCAGAGGGAUACAAGCAGAGCUCCUGGACGGACGCACAGCGUAACAGCUCAAAAGCUGAGACCAGAAUGGUGGAGGACGAGGACCACUUCCCAUUCAACAUGAGUGACUUUGUGACAUUAGAUGAAGAAGGAGAUGUUACCGACCUUCCGUGUUCUCCUGCUGUUGUUCCCAUGGAAACCACAGACAGGGAGGAGGAGGAUGCUCCCACAUCUGUCCCUCAGGACACUACAGGGGACGCACCCAUGGAGGUUGCCAGAGAAACAGCAGUAUCGGAUGCCAC
Toxotes jaculatrix (banded archerfish) is the source of this 307-nucleotide long non-coding RNA. RefSeq lists it as uncharacterized. Lineage: Eukaryota; Metazoa; Chordata; Actinopteri; Toxotidae. The record is from RefSeq and is a predicted model, not a curated record. The transcript is spliced from 3 exons.